Molecule: unclassified non-coding RNA, 300 nt
Filed under: uncultured Dominikia
Lineage: Eukaryota; Fungi; Glomeromycota; Glomeromycetes; Glomerales; Glomeraceae
Description: sequence contains 5.8S rRNA gene, ITS2
Rfam family: 5.8S ribosomal RNA (bases 1-71)
Source: RNAcentral
GUGAAUCAUCGAAUCUUUGAACGCAAAUUGCACUCUUUGGUAUUCCGAAGAGUAUGCCUGUUUGAGGGUCAGUCAAAUAAAAAUCGGGGUUGUUGCUGCCUUCGGUGGUGACGCUUCGGAACUGGGUCGUCUUUGCCUUCGGUUAAGUGACCUAAAAUUUUGGAUGAUUUUUCGAACGUAUUUAAUUUUUUUUACGUACGUUUGUAUAUCGAAUAUUAGAUGCGGUCAUUUCCAUGAUUCGCGUCUAUAAUUUUCAUCAAAUGACCUCAAAUCAGGUAAGAGUACCCGCUGAACUUAAGC